ACAGAAUUUCGAAAAUAUCCCAAAUUCCAGAAGGACGAUCAAUAUCCGUCUCGAUGAUGUUCUCGAUGCCAUCGUUCAUGAAUUUAGAGAUCGUCUCUAACUCGUCGAACAUAGUAACGUACCUUACAAGUUAAUAAAUUUCGAGGUUUUCCUCGUGACCGUACCGGGAUGUGUGCCUCGUUGUCAGCAGCAUCCGAAACAAUCCGCUUGCCUUGCGGUUUCGCAAUCACGAGAAGGUUUCUCC
Molecule: unclassified non-coding RNA, 244 nt
Filed under: Bombus terrestris (buff-tailed bumblebee)
Lineage: Eukaryota; Metazoa; Arthropoda; Insecta; Hymenoptera; Apidae
Description: misc RNA ENSBTSG00005034531.1
Source: RNAcentral